RNAcentral lists this ribosomal RNA (440 nucleotides) under uncultured bacterium. RNAcentral's name for it is "partial 16S ribosomal RNA". It matches the Rfam family "Bacterial small subunit ribosomal RNA", at positions 338 to 795 of the family's 1533-position model. The record is from RNAcentral.
CCUACGGGGGGCAGCAGUGGGGAAUAUUGGACAAUGGGGGAAACCCUGAUCCAGCGACGCCGCGUGAGUGAAGAAGUAUUUCGGUACGUAAAGCUCUAUCAGCAGGGAAGAAAAUGACGGUACCUGACUAAGAAGCCCCGGCUAACUACGUGCCAGCAGCCGCGGUAAUACGUAGGGGGCAAGCGUUAUCCGGAUUUACUGGGUGUAAAGGGAGCGUAGACGGCAGCGCAAGUCUGGUGUGAAAUGCCGGGGCGCAACCCCGGAACUGCCCUGGAAACUGUGAAGCUGGAGUGCAGGAGGGGUAAGCGGAAUUCAUGGUGUAGCGGUGAAAUGCGUAGAUAUCAGGAGGAACACCGGCGGCGAAGGCGGGUGACUGGACUGUAACUGACGUUGAGGCUCGAAGGCGUGGGGAGCAAACAGGAUUAGAUACCCCUGUAGUC